Molecule: ribosomal RNA, 453 nt
Filed under: uncultured Thiobacillus sp.
Lineage: Bacteria; Pseudomonadati; Pseudomonadota; Betaproteobacteria; Nitrosomonadales; Thiobacillaceae
Description: bacterial SSU rRNA
Rfam family: Bacterial small subunit ribosomal RNA
Source: RNAcentral
GCACAAGCGGUGGAUGAUGUGGUUAAUUCGAUGCAACGCGAAAACCUUACCUACCCUUGACAUGUCCGGAAUCCUGCAGAGAUGCGGGAGUGCCCGAAAGGGAAUCGGAACACAGGUGCUGCAUGGCUGUCGUCAGCUCGUGUCGUGAGAUGUUGGGUUAAGUCCCGCAACGAGCGCAGCCCUUAUCAUUAGUUGCUACGCAAGGGCACUCUAAUGAGACUGCCGGUGACAAACCGGAGGAAGGUGGGGAUGACGUCAAGUCCUCAUGGCCCUUAUGGGUAGGGCUUCACACGUCAUACAAUGGUCGGUACAGAGGGUUGCCAACCCGCGAGGGGGAGCUAAUCCCACAAAGCCGAUCGUAGUCCGGAUCGCAGUCUGCAACUCGACUGCGUGAAGUCGGAAUCGCUAGUAAUCGUGGAUCAGCAUGUCACGGUGAAUACGUUCCCGGGUCUU